RNAcentral lists this ribosomal RNA (1369 nucleotides) under uncultured bacterium. RNAcentral's name for it is "bacterial SSU rRNA". It matches the Rfam family "Bacterial small subunit ribosomal RNA", at positions 28 to 1381 of the family's 1533-position model. The record is from RNAcentral.
GACGAACGCUGGCGGCGUGCCUAAUACAUGCAAGUAGAACGCUGAAGAGAGGAGCUUGCUCUUCUUGGAUGAGUUGCGAACGGGUGAGUAACGCGUAGGUAACCUGCCUGGUAGCGGGGGAUAACUAUUGGAAACGAUAGCUAAUACCGCAUAAAAUUGAUUAUUGCAUGAUAAUUAAUUGAAAGAUGCAAUUGCAUCACUACCAGAUGGACCUGCGUUGUAUUAGCUAGUUGGUGAGGUAACGGCUCACCAAGGCGACGAUACAUAGCCGACCUGAGAGGGUGAUCGGCCACACUGGGACUGAGACACGGCCCAGACUCCUACGGGAGGCAGCAGUAGGGAAUCUUCGGCAAUGGGGGGAACCCUGACCGAGCAACGCCGCGUGAGUGAAGAAGGUUUUCGGAUCGUAAAGCUCUGUUGUAAGAGAAGAACGGGUGUGAGAGUGGAAAGUUCACACUGUGACGGUAUCUUACCAGAAAGGGACGGCUAACUACGUGCCAGCAGCCGCGGUAAUACGUAGGUCCCGAGCGUUGUCCGGAUUUAUUGGGCGUAAAGCGAGCGCAGGCGGUUAGAUAAGUCUGAAGUUAAAGGCUGUGGCUUAACCAUAGUAUGCUUUGGAAACUGUUUAACUUGAGUGCAGAAGGGGAGAGUGGAAUUCCAUGUGUAGCGGUGAAAUGCGUAGAUAUAUGGAGGAACACCGGUGGCGAAAGCGGCUCUCUGGUCUGUAACUGACGCUGAGGCUCGAAAGCGUGGGGAGCAACAGGGAUUAGAUACCCUGGUAGUCCACGCCGUAAACGAUGAGUGCUAGGUGUUAGGCCCUUUCCGGGGCUUAGUGCCGCAGCUAACGCAUUAAGCACUCCGCCUGGGGAGUACGACCGCAAGGUUGAAACUCAAAGGAAUUGACGGGGGCCCGCACAAGCGGUGGAGCAUGUGGUUUAAUUCGAAGCAACGCGAAGAACCUUACCAGGUCUUGACAUCCCUCUGACCGCUCUAGAGAUAGAGUUUUCCUUCGGGACAGAGGUGACAGGUGGUGCAUGGUUGUCGUCAGCUCGUGUCGUGAGAUGUUGGGUUAAGUCCCGCAACGAGCGCAACCCCUAUUGUUAGUUGCCAUCAUUGAGUUGGGCACUCUAGCGAGACUGCCGGUAAUAAACCGGAGGAAGGUGGGGAUGACGUCAAAUCAUCAUGCCCCUUAUGACCUGGGCUACACACGUGCUACAAUGGCUGGUACAACGAGUCGCAAGCCGGUGACGGCAAGCUAAUCUCUGAAAGCCAGUCUCAGUUCGGAUUGUAGGCUGCAACUCGCCUACAUGAAGUCGGAAUCGCUAGUAAUCGCGGAUCAGCACGCCGCGGUGAAUACGUUCCCGGGCCU